RNAcentral lists this ribosomal RNA (90 nucleotides) under Pseudomonas asiatica. RNAcentral describes it as "partial 16S ribosomal RNA". It matches the Rfam family "Bacterial small subunit ribosomal RNA", at positions 1 to 89 of the family's 1533-position model. Lineage: Bacteria; Pseudomonadati; Pseudomonadota; Gammaproteobacteria; Pseudomonadales; Pseudomonadaceae. RNAcentral also lists the same sequence under 2 other names. The record is from RNAcentral.
GAACUGAAGAGUUUGAUCAUGGCUCAGAUUGAACGCUGGCGGCAGGCCUAACACAUGCAAGUCGAGCGGAUGACGGGAGCUUGCUCCUUG